Molecule: long non-coding RNA, 499 nt
Filed under: Salvia miltiorrhiza (redroot sage)
Lineage: Eukaryota; Viridiplantae; Streptophyta; Magnoliopsida; Lamiales; Lamiaceae
Description: long non-coding RNA (SMIL_LNC010480)
Source: RNAcentral
UCGUCAAUCCCUCUUUCAUCUCGCAUCUCUCUCACCACGCGACCGAAAAUCCCCCGCCGCCCCACUCCACCGCUCCCACCGCUCUCCUUCACCACCGGUCCACCACCGUCGCCUAGUGUCUAUUCUUAUCUCUUUAUUGUUAAUUUUAUAUUUGCUCUUUCUCUUUCUCUCACUUAAUUUCUCAUCUCUCUCUCUCACAGUGGUUGCCGCGUUCCACCUCCGCUCCAUCACCGCCUGAACACCUUUGACGGUGAAGUCUCUCAUUCGUCGUCGCCGUCGCCAUCCCCUACUCGAUUUCAGGUAAGCUUGUCCCAAUUUUCGGACAGAGGGCUUUAAGCAUAGGGCUUGAUUUUUGAAAUUUCUGCGGGUUUAGCUAGUAGCUUAGUUCUAAUUUCUCAUCUCUCUCUCACAGCUGUUGCCGCGUUCCACCACCUCCGCUCCACCAUCGCCUGAACACCUUUGACGGUGAAGUCUCUCAUUCGCCGUCGCCAUCCCUUAC